Molecule: ribosomal RNA, 499 nt
Filed under: uncultured bacterium
Lineage: Bacteria
Description: partial 16S ribosomal RNA
Rfam family: Bacterial small subunit ribosomal RNA
Source: RNAcentral
ACUCAAAUGAAUUGACGGGAGCCCGCACAAGCGGUGGAUUAUGUGGUUUAAUUCGAAGCAACGCGCAGAACCUUACCUAGGUUUGACAUCCUUUGACAACUGCAGAGAUGCAGCUUUCGUAGCAAUACGACAAAGAGACAGGUGCUGCAUGGCUGUCGUCAGCUCGUGUGGUGGCAUGUCGGGUUAAGUCCCUCAACGAGCGCAACCCCUAUGUUUAGUUGCCAGCAUUAAGUUGGGCACUCUAGACAGACUGCCGUGGUUAACACGGAGGAAGGCGGGGAUGACGUCAAGUCCUCAUGGCCCUUACAUCUAGGGCGACACACGUAAUACAAUGGUCGAUACAGAGGGACGCGAAAUGGUGACAUGGAGCAAAUCUCAAAAAGUCGAUCUCAGUUCGGAUUGAAGUCUGCAACUCGACUUCAUGAAGGCGGAAUCGCUAGUAAUCGCGGAUCAGCACGCCGCGGUGAAUACGUUCCCGGGCUUUGUACACACCGCCCGU